RNAcentral lists this ribosomal RNA (448 nucleotides) under uncultured bacterium. RNAcentral's name for it is "bacterial SSU rRNA". It matches the Rfam family "Bacterial small subunit ribosomal RNA", at positions 329 to 794 of the family's 1533-position model. The record is from RNAcentral.
CGCCAGACUCCUACGGGAGGCAGCAGUGGGGAAUAUUGCACAAUGGGGGAAACCCUGAUGCAGCGACGCCGCGUGAGCGAUGAAGUAUUUCGGUAUGUAAAGCUCUAUCAGCAGGGAAGAAAAUGACGGUACCUGACUAAGAAGCCCCGGCUAACUACGUGCCAGCAGCCGCGGUAAUACGUAGGGGGCAAGCGUUAUCCGGAUUUACUGGGUGUAAAGGGAGCGUAGACGGCAUGGCAAGUCAGAUGUGAAAGCCCGGGGCUCAACCCCGGGACUGCAUUUGAAACUGUCAGGCUGGAGUGCAGGAGAGGUAAGUGGAAUUCCUAGUGUAGCGGUGAAAUGCGUAGAUAUUAGGAGGAACACCAGUGGCGAAGGCGGCUUACUGGACUGUAACUGACGUUGAGGCUCGAAAGCGUGGGGAGCAAACAGGAUUAGAUACCCUUGUAAU